UUGGUGGGGUGAUGGCCUACCAAGGCGACGACGGGUAGCCGGCCUGAGAGGGUGUCCGGCCACACUGGGACUGAGAUACGGUCCAGACUCCUACGGGAGGCAGCAGUGGGGAAUAUUGCACAAUGGGCGCAAGCCUGAUGCAGCGACGCCGCGUGGGGGAUGACGGCCUUCGGGUUGUAAACCUCUUUCACCAUCGGCGAAGCCGGGAGCUUUUGUUUCUGGUGACGGUAGGUGGAGAAGAAGCACCGGCCAACUACGUGCCAGCAGCCGCGGUAAUACGUAGGGUGCGAGCGUUGUCCGGAAUUACUGGGCGUAAAGAGCUCGUAGGUGGUUUGUCGCGUUGUCCGUGAAAUUCCCUGGCUUAACUGGGGGCGUGCGGGCGAUACGGGCAGACUGGAGUACUGCAGGGGAGACUGGAAUUCCUGGUGUAGCGGUGGAAUGCGCAGAUAUCAGGAGGAACACCGGUGGCGAAGGCGGGUCUCUGGGCAGUAACUGACGCUGAGGAGCGAAAGCGUGGGGAGCGAACAGGAUUAGAUACCCUGGUAGUCCACGCCGUAAACGGUGGGUACUAGGUGUGGGUUUCCUUCCUUGGGAUCCGUGCCGUAGCUAACGCAUUAAGUACCCCGCCUGGGGAGUACGG
Molecule: ribosomal RNA, 640 nt
Filed under: uncultured bacterium
Lineage: Bacteria
Description: bacterial SSU rRNA
Rfam family: Bacterial small subunit ribosomal RNA
Source: RNAcentral